CCUGCAAUAAAGCAUUUACACAAGAGUUUCUAUCUCAAGCUCUAUUUCUACGGAGCUCAAACUAAAACUCCAUUUUAAUAACCUAACUAUUUUGAUUCUAGAAGAAGUUGGUUUGGCUCUAGAAACAAAAAAAAGUCAAUGUUUGGGCCACUAGAAUUAGUAUGGCUGGAAUUAGUAACUAUUUUCAUAGCAAAUGGACAAUGUUCAUCUUUCUCUAUUAGAAACUAGAUGAAGAAAAUGUCUAUGUGUUUAAAUCAUUUCAACUGACAGUCUGAAGUUUAUUCUGCUUCAACAAACCUUUACUCUUCUGAUUGUCUAGGUCUGGAUCUUCAUCCCUGUGACUUCUUUUGGUUUACCUUGCCCCUAGGGACUGGAAGAAGGGCUGAAGGUGAUCACAGAAGACCACUAUAUGCAACUAGCACUGAGGAAGUGUUGUAUUCACUAGAGUUACAGCAGAAAGUUAGACCCUUUGAAAGUUUGCAAUACCAACUUGUUCCUGAAUAAAACCAUGGGUAUAAUAUGGCUUUGUAAAAGAAUCUUUGUUUUUUGGAGAUAUGUACUGAUGUCUUUAAGGUAAGGGACAACUUAUCUUUAACUGACACUCAAGUAGUUCAGAAAAAAAUCACACACACACAUAUAUGGAGAGAAACAAAGAGGUAAGCCAUGAGAUUAACAUGUAGGUAAUCUGGGCGAAGAAUAUAGAGGAAUUCUUUGUAAAAUUCUUGCAUCUUUUCUGUACAUUUGAUGUUAACUCAAAACUUUAAGAUGAUUAAGAAUAAGCAUCUACAUACAAAACUCAUAAAACAAACAAAGUUUAGUUCUGUUUAAUAGCGAACCUCCAGGCUCCAUACUACAAAACUUGUAAGGAACUCCAACUUCAGCCUGCCUCAAGGGAAAGUGACCUGGUUAGCUUCUCUCUCACUCAUCCAGCCUCCCACCCCACCCCCUACUCACUAGCUCCGUUAAAGGUUCUUCCACAGGUGGAAAGUGACGGAGGGGAUAAAGUAAAGGGCUUUUGUCAUAUAUGGCUGACAGGGUUGUAACCUAGAGUUGAUGCUCUCUGGGAAGGCAAUGUACUAAAGUGAACUAUUGCUGUCAAUGGGGCUUUUGCGGGUAUUUUUGAAGCUCUUGCCCAGCACUUACUGCAUUUCCUACCGUGGGUUAUGCCUCACCUAGCUUUUUACUCAGUAGUCCACCUCCAGGGAUGGUUAGUUUUAUGUCUCAAUUUGGCUACAUUAUAGUUCUCAGUUACUUAGCCAAACACUAAUUGUAGGUAUUGCUAUGAAGGAGCUGUGCAGAUGCAAUUAACAUCUACAAUUAGUGGACUUAACUAAAGGAUAUUAUCCUCCAUAAUCUGGGUGAGACUGAUCCUCUCAGUUGAAAGGCUUUAAGAGCCCAACUGAGGUUUCCCUGAAGAAGAAGAGAUUUCACUUAUGAACUGCAGGGACAGCUUUCAACUAAGAGUUUCCAGCCUGGACUUCCUGAUGGCCUGCUCUACUAGUCCCCACAAUCAUGUAAGUCAGCUCCUUGCAAUAAAUCCUAUCUAUCAUCUAUCUAUCUAUCUAUCUAUCUAUCUAUCUAUCUAUCUAUCAUCUAUUACCUAUCUAUCUACACUACUGGUUCUAUUUCUCUUGUAGAAUCCUGA
Canis lupus familiaris (dog) is the source of this 1645-nucleotide long non-coding RNA. RefSeq lists it as uncharacterized. The record is from RefSeq and is a predicted model, not a curated record. The transcript has 3 exons. Lineage: Eukaryota; Metazoa; Chordata; Mammalia; Carnivora; Canidae.